UUUAGUCUUUUAAAUCUGAAGUUUGUGAUAUCAUUGCAGACUUGAACUGCUGCUAGCUACUAUAAAUUUGUGAGCCAUGAAAUAAGAAGUGCUUUAAGAUCAUUCUAUCCCUAAUCGAUUCAGUGGUAGGCAGUUAUCAUGCACUGUUUCCAGAAGGAACUCCCAUGGAGUUGCAGCACAUCAUUAAACUCAAGGUCUUAAGAAAGCUCAGCAGAGCAUACUUGAUGAUCUCAUCAAGCAUGGCCCAAGGUAUACACAGCCCUCUGUUUCAGGGGUAAUGCCACAAGUGGUUCCAACCCACCUGCACUGCGCUGGUAAUCACUAAUCCGGGUACAACAGCUAGGUUUAUAGCAAACAACGAGGAUGUGUUAACCAGGCAGAAGCUCUUGGUAGAGGAGCUGAAACCACUGGCUUUAAUAAUUUAAUUGCUCUUACUGAAGCUGUCAAAGACCUCAAAGAUGGUCUCUCUCUCUCACUUUUAACAGGACAAACAAGCUUUCUUCAAGACUUUCUUCGCGUGGCUUAAACCAGGUUCAUCAGCGACUGAUGUAGGAGCUUGAAAGCUCCAUCUCCUGAGUUUUCAGAGUACAUCAAACAGAGAAGAUAUGAUCUCCAUGAUGUUCAAGCAUAUGCGAAGGUUUUUUUCCUUUGUCAAUGAUAUGUGUUUCUGUGUGUAUCAAAACCCUAAGCUUUAAUCCAUGUAACAAAAAUAUUCAUUGUAUUAUGCUAAAGACGCCAGUUUUAAGUUCAAACUUUUAUUAUCCU
Long non-coding RNA from Raphanus sativus (radish), 765 nucleotides. RefSeq lists it as uncharacterized. NCBI's taxonomy places the organism in Eukaryota, Viridiplantae, Streptophyta, Magnoliopsida, Brassicales, Brassicaceae. The record is from RefSeq and is a predicted model, not a curated record. The transcript is spliced from 2 exons.